This 498-nucleotide ribosomal RNA is filed under the name uncultured bacterium. RNAcentral describes it as "bacterial SSU rRNA". It matches the Rfam family "Bacterial small subunit ribosomal RNA", at positions 28 to 521 of the family's 1533-position model. The record is from RNAcentral.
GAUGAACGCUAGCGGCAGGCCUAACACAUGCAAGUCGAGGGGCAGCACAGGUAGCAAUACUGGGUGGCGACCGGCGGAUGGGUGCGUAACGCGUAUGCAACCUACCAUUGAUUGGGGCAUAGCCCGAAGAAAUUCGGAUUAAUACUCCAUAAUAUUCAUCAAAGGCAUCUUUUAUGAAUUAAAGCUUUUGCGAUCAAUGAUGGGCAUGCGUGACAUUAGUUAGUUGGUGAGGUAACGGCUCACCAAAACGAUGAUGUCUAGGGGUUCUGAGAGGAUUAUCCCCCACACUGGUACUGAGACACGGACCAGACUCCUACGGGAGGCAGCAGUGAGGAAUAUUGGUCAAUGGGCGGAAGCCUGAACCAGCCAUGCCGCGUGCAGGAUGACGGCCCUACGGGUUGUAAACUGCUUUUCCCCGGGGCGAAUAACCCCCUCGCGAGGGGGAUGGCCGGUACCGGGGAAGUAAGGAUCGGCUAACUCCGUGCCAGCAGCCGCGGU